UCGGGGGUCGUUCAAUUGGCAGGACGCUGGCCUUUGAAGCCAAGAAUCGAGGUUCAAGUCCUCGCCCCCGAGCCU
This 75-nucleotide transfer RNA is filed under the name Chloroflexota bacterium. RNAcentral's name for it is "Chloroflexi bacterium tRNA-Gln". It matches the Rfam family "tRNA". Rfam says of the family: Transfer RNA (tRNA) molecules are approximately 80 nucleotides in length. Lineage: Bacteria; Bacillati; Chloroflexota. The record is from RNAcentral.